Molecule: long non-coding RNA, 7116 nt
Filed under: Theobroma cacao (cacao)
Lineage: Eukaryota; Viridiplantae; Streptophyta; Magnoliopsida; Malvales; Malvaceae
Description: long non-coding RNA (TCAC_LNC004148)
Source: RNAcentral
AAAUUGGUAGCAAUUAUUGGAUGGCUUGGGCAUCUCCUGUGUCUGCAGAUGUCAAACCUCCUGUUCGGAGCUUUACACUAAUAAUUGUCUAUUUAGCUUUGGCCGUUGCUAGUGCCUUUUCUGUCCUUGCCAGAGCCAUGCUUCUUAAUACAGCUGGAUACAAAACAGCCACUCUUUUCUUCAAAAAGAUGCAUUCAUGCAUUUUCCGUGCUCCUAUGUCAUUCUUUGAUUCCACACCAAGCGGAAGAAUCCUAAACAGAGUUAGUAUCUAAUGUUUUCUUGUGUGAAUGUCAAACAUUCCAUUUAUCUUAUUUUUUUGGCAUUCCUCCCUUGUUUCUGAAGGAUUCUAUUAUUUUCCUGCCUCUUUUAGGCUUCUACAGAUCAAAGUGCAGUGGAUAUGAGCAUUCCGUAUCAAGUUGGUGCAUUCGCCUUUUCAGUUAUCCAGCUCCUUGGUAUCAUUGCAGUCAUGUCUCAAGUUGCUUGGCAGAUCUUUAUCAUUUUUAUCCCUGUGGUUGCUACCUGUAUUUGGUACCAGGUAAUUCUUGUCCCCUCAUAUAAUAUGUUGUCUGUCAAUUUGUGGUUAUAGAAUGUAUGACCUCAUAGACUUGCAAUAUAUAUUGUAAAUCUCAAAGUCGUUCGAGAAAACAUAAAACCUUGCAUAAUACUUGGACAUAGGAAUUCUCAUAAACUUGUAAUUUUUCAGCAAUAUUACAUAUCUUCUGCACGAGAACUUGCACGAUUGGUUGGAGUAUGCAAAGCUCCAGUGAUACAGCAUUUUGCUGAAACAAUUUUAGGAGCAACAACUAUCAGGAGCUUUGAUCAAGAAUCAAGAUUCCAAGAGGCAAACAUGAUACUAAUGGAUGCAUUUUCUCGUCCAAAAUUUCAUGUUGCUGGUGCAAUGGAAUGGCUGUGCUUCCGCCUGGACAUGUUGUCUUCCAUUACUUUUGCCUUCUCUUUGUUCUUUUUGAUUUCUAUACCAGAGGGAAUUAUUGAUCCUGGUAAGUGAUUGUAGAUUGGAAUCUUUAUUGACUACCAUGUCAUUGUAGAUAACAGAUGUUAAAGGAGAAUGACUGAAAGUGUUUUCGUGUUUUCUUUUGCUUAGCCAUUGCGGGUUUAGCUGUGACGUAUGGACUCAAUCUAAAUAUAUUGCAAGCUUGGGUAGUAUGGAAUAUUUGCAAUAUGGAGAAUAAAAUUAUAUCUGUUGAGAGACUGCUUCAGUACAGUAGUAUUCCUAGUGAGCCUGCCCUUGUGAUAGAAACUAACCGUCCGGACCGUUCUUGGCCAUCUCAUGGAGAAGUUAAUAUUCAUGAUCUGCAGGUAAUGCAGUUAUGCAGUGUUUAUGACUCUAAGUUGUUAUGUGUUGUUUUUGAAAUAAAUGAUGAUGUUCGAUGUAGGUGCGGUAUGCUCCACACAUGCCACUCGUCUUGCGAGGUAUGACAUGCACAUUACCAGGAGGGUUGAAAACUGGCAUUGUAGGGAGAACAGGGAGUGGUAAAACAACUCUCAUACAAACACUUUUCCGCAUAGUUGAACCUGCAGCAGGUCAGAUUAUAAUUGAUGGCGUUAAUAUCUCAUCAAUUGGACUGCAUGAUUUGCGGUCAAGACUCAGCAUCAUCCCUCAGGAUCCUACCAUGUUUGAAGGGACUAUACGGAGUAAUUUGGAUCCUCUUGAAGAGCACUCAGACGAACAGAUUUGGGAGGUGGGUUCAUUUCAUUUUGAUUACGAGAGAAAAGCUUUUCUGGUCUGUACCAUUUAUUUUCGAAUAAAAUGCUGUGUUUAUGAUUGGUAUUUGAAGUGUGAUAUGUAUUGAUGUAUGUUUUGAUUUUUUAAGGCAGUGGAUAAGUGCCAACUUGGGGAUGGAGUUAGAAAGAAGGAAGGCGGGCUAGAUUCUUCAGGUCUGAUCUUCUAUCAUAUAACAUACAAGUCGGAUGUCAUGCAAGUUGUUUAAAAUCUACUACUAAAUUCAACUGUUUAAAGAAAUGUUGAAGUAUUAUAACAUUGCUUCCGCAGUUACCGAGAAUGGAGAGAAUUGGAGCAUGGGACAGAGGCAGCUGGUCUGUCUCGGGCGUGUGCUGCUCAAGAAAAGUAAGAUCCUAGUGCUUGAUGAAGCUACGGCAUCAGUUGAUACAGCUACCGAUAAUCUGAUUCAGACAACCUUAAGGGAGCACUUUUCUGACUGUACAGUCAUAACAAUUGCACACCGGAUCACUUCUGUUCUUGACAGUGAUCUGGUUCUGCUUCUAAGCCACGGUUAGCACGGUUGUGUUAUCUAUCAUUUGCUUGUAGGAUCCUUUGAACUUCAUUUCGUUUAAAACUAUGUUUAACUGUCGCAGGACUUGUCGAAGAAUACGAUUCUCCCGCUAGAUUGCUGGAAAACAAGUCUUCAGCUUUCGCACAGCUUGUAGCCGAGUAUACUGUGAGAUCAAAUUCAAGCCUGGAGAAGUUCGACUGAAUUAGAUGAUCACGAAAAAUAUAUGUUUGGUACUCAUUGGGAAUGUUUUGUACAAGACAAGCCUAGUAGUGUUCUUGGCUUCAAUAAACACUAGUUGUAUAUUUUCCUUUUCUCUCUUCUAUCAGUCUGCCAUUAUUAAGUUACAAAGAAUUUUUAAGACAUAUGUUCGGGCAAUUAGACGUUAACAAAAUUAAUGUAAAAAAAUUGUCAAAAACACGUGCGAAGAAAAAAAGUUUAUUAAUAUAAAGUCAACAAUUGGGUGGUGGGCCUUCACACGUCCAUUAAUGGGGCCCAUUUCAAAAAGAGAGUGUCCAGAUGAGUAUCCCCCAAGUUUUCGUUGUGAGCAAUGAGCAUACAAGUCGAAGCAAAACUGUGGGGUUUCAGUACGGCGCCGUUUUAAUUGUCUCUUUCCGGUUUUUGGGCAGACGGGCUGGAUUUGAGUCUUCGGUUUGGUUCACCGCCAGGUGUCAAUACAAUGACGGUUGGAAAUUCCAACGGUUUUUUGUUAGAGUUUCCCGGGUUUUUUUUUGUUCCUACUAAUUUACUAUUUUGUGGUUUGAGAAAUAUUUUAAAAUUGUUUUAAAUUUAUUUAUAAUAAAUAAAAAAGACCUUUGAUACCCACAAUUAUUAUUGUUUUGAGUUAUUUUCAAAUUAACCAACGAAAAUAAUUUUUGCUAAAAAGGGUCAUUAAUAUUUUUUAAUGAGUAAAAAGGGUCAUUAGGUUUAAAAUAAUAAUAAAAGAAUAUUUUUUUAUUUAUUUCUAAAAAUUAUUAAAAUAAUUAAAACUUAGCAACUUUUAACAGGUUCAUAGGAUCAGAUUAUGAUAAUCUUCAUGGAUAAAUGAAAGAAAAAUUAAUUCUUGAAUUAAAAAACAAAGGUUUGUUUUUUUCUUUGUUGAUAAUGCAAAAGUUCUGGUAAAAAUUUCAUUGCAAAAGAGGAGUUUUUUUGGGUUAAUUUCUAUUUCCCUCACUACAGAAUCACUCUCACUCUCUAUAUCUCUUCAGCUGUGUGUCUCUUAUGUUUUGUCUCUCUCUCUCUUUCAAAGAUCAAAACUUUCUCGGAAAGCCUCCAAGUUUUUUGUUUUUGGUCUCUCUUUUGAGGCUUAAGCCUCCCUUCCCUUUGCUCUCAUGCCGUCUCUCAAGUCUUGGUCUCCACGCAUAUCCCUUCCCCAAGUAAUCUUCCUUUGACUCUCUUCUUUUGUGUCCCUGUCUUGACUGUAACACUCCUUUAAGUCUCGUUUAUAUAUAAACUCAAAAACAAGCAAAAGUAUCUUCCAACAACACUGUAGUCCAAAAUUUUUCUUGAGUAAAAAGUCCAUAAAGAAUGAAACUUUUUGCUUCAGAAUCAUCUUUGCUAAUGAGUUCAGCUUCUAGUUUUCAUUUUCUCCUAAAACCCAUGUUUCUUCAUGGGCUUUCUGCUUCAUUGCACCUACUUUUAUUGCUUUUCUUGCUAGUCUUAUGGUUUGUGGACAGAGUUAAAGAAGCUGGCAGGGAAGGAUCGAAGGAAAGGAUAAGGCAAAGGAAGGUUUUAUGGUAUAAGCAAACUUUAGCUUGUUGUUUUAUUGUUUCAGCUUUCAACACUGUCUUGUGUUUGUUAAGUUAUUUUUAUUGGUAUAGAAAUGGUUGGUCUGAGGAUAAGUUAGUGACUCUUUCUGAUUAUGUGGUAAAAACACUUGCUUGGGGUGCAACGUGUGUUUAUUUGCAUUAUCAGUUCUCCCAUUCUGGUGAACAAAAGAAGUUCCCAUUUUUAUUGAGAAUUUGGUGGGGUUUUUAUUUUUCCAUUUCUUGUUAUUGUCUUGUUAUAGACGUUGUUCGUUACAAAGAACAUGUUUCUUUCCCAAGUCAGUAUUUAGUAUCCGAUGUUUUUUCUGUUAUUACUGGUUUGUUCCUAUGUAUUGUGGGGUUUUUUGGAGGAACUGAAGGUGAAGAUACCCUCCUUGAGGAGCCCCUUUUGAAUGGAGAUUCUAGUGUAGGUAAUGGUGUAGAGUUGAGUAAGAAAAAAAGAGGUGAUACUGUAACCCCAUAUUCAAAUGCUGGUAUUUUCAGCAUUCUUACAUUUUCUUGGAUGGGGCCUCUUAUUGCUGCUGGCAGUAAAAAACCUUUAGACCUUGAGGAUGUUCCUCAGCUAGAUAGCAGUGAUAGUGUUGUUGGCGCUUUUCCAAAUUUUAGAAACAGGCUCGAGUCAGCUGACAGUGAGGGGAGUGGAGUUACCGCGUUUAAGCUGGUGAAGGCACUGUUCUUCUCAGCUUGGAAAGAUAUUCUUUGGACAGCUUUGUUAGCGUUUAUGUACACUGUGGCUUCAUAUGUUGGCCCAUAUCUCAUUGACACUUUUGUUCAGUACCUGAAUGGGCAGCGGGAGUUUAAAAAUGAGGGGUAUCUUCUGGUUAUGGCUUUCUUUGUUGCAAAGCUAGUAGAGUGCUUAUCUCAGAGGCGCUGGUAUUUUAAGUUGCAGCAAGUAGGAAUUAGGCUGAGAGCAGUACUGGUAGCAAUGAUUUAUAACAAGGGUCUAACCCUUUCGUGCCAGUCAAAGCAGAGCCACACCAGUGGGGAGAUCAUCAAUUUCAUGACUGUCGAUGCAGAGAGGGUGGGUGAGUUUAUUUGGUACAUGCAUGAUCCAUGGAAGGUAGUUUUGCAAGUUGCUUUGGCGUUGUUGAUCUUGUAUAAAAAUCUUGGACUAGCAUUCAUUGCAACUUUUGUUGCAACAGUGCUUGUUAUGUUGGCAAAUAUUCCUUUGGGGAAAAUGCUAGAAAAGUUUCAGGAUAAGUUGAUGGAAGCUAAAGAUAAAAGGAUGAAGGCAACAUCAGAAAAUUUGAGGAACAUGAGAAUUCUCAAACUUCAAGGGUGGGAAAUGAAGUUUCUGUCAAAGAUUAUUGGGCUCAGGAAUGUUGAGGAAGAAUGGUUAAAAAGAUUUGUUUAUACAAGUGGCAUCACUGGUUUUGUUUUCUAUGUUGCACCCACAUUUGUGUCUGUAGCCACUUUUGGUGCUUGUAUUCUUUUAGGAGUCCCACUUGAAUCAGGGAAGAUCCUAUCUGCACUUGCAACAUUCAGGAUUCUUCAAGAGCCAAUCUACAGUCUUCCUGACACAAUUUCAAUGAUAGCUCAGACAAAGGUGUCUCUUGAUAGAAUUGCUUCCUUCCUUCGCCUUGAUGACUUGCAGCCUGAUGUUAUAUGGAGGCUUCCAAAAGGUAGUUCUGAUACUGCAAUUGAGAUUGUUGAUGCGAAUUUCUCUUGGGAUUUCUCUUCUGCUACUGGAACGCUAAAAGACAUAAAUUUGAAAGUUUUCCAUGGUAUGAGGGUUGCUGUUUGUGGUACAGUUGGCUCUGGCAAGUCGAGUUUGCUUUCCUGUAUUUUGGGGGAAUUACCCAAGAUAUCUGGAACUCUUAAAUUGUGUGGUACAAAGGCCUAUGUUGCUCAGUCGCCUUGGAUACAAAGUGGCAAGAUUGAAGAGAACAUAUUGUUUGGCAAGGAGAUGGAUAGGGAGAGGUAUGACAGAGUGCUUGAAGCUUGUAGCCUCAAUAAAGAUCUUGAAAUCCUCUCAUUUGGUGAUCAGACCAUUAUAGGUGAGAGGGGAAUCAAUUUGAGCGGUGGGCAGAAGCAAAGAGUACAGAUUGCACGUGCUUUAUACCAAGAUGCUGAUAUCUAUCUCUUUGACGAUCCAUUCAGCGCUGUGGAUGCGCACACAGGAUCUCAUUUAUUUAAGGUAACAUCUUUUCUUCUCUGAUACGAUGGCAUGUAGUUUAAAAGUUACUUUGAAUCUAUGCAGAAAGCUAUACUGCUCUAUCUACGGUAAUUAAUUGAACUACUAACAUUUGCACUUUUGUCAGCUGCUUAUUUGAGCUUUCUUCUUCAGUUGGUGCUUUGCCUGAGUAAUUGUUUAAUCUUUGAAUGAUAGGAAGUUUUACUAGGCAUUUUGAGUUCAAAAACAGUGAUUUAUGUCACUCAUCAAGUUGAGUUUUUACCAGCUGCUGAUCUAAUCUUGGUAAGCUAUUUACAUUUUCAGUGUUUUUAAUCCUACUCCUUGGAGGGUAGGCAAUAAUAUAACUACUGGAUUCAACUUGUACAUUUUUGUUAGGUCAUGAAAGAUGGCAGGAUUACACAAGCUGGAAAGUAUAAUGACAUUUUCAAUUCAGGAACUGACUUUAUGGAACUUGUGGGUGCACAUAAGAAAGCUUUGUCAGCCCUUGAUACUGUUGAUGCAGGAUCUGUUUCUGAAAAAAAAAUCAGUGAGGGAGAUGGUACUACGGGAUGUGCUAAUAGGAAAGUGCAGAAAGAAGAAAAGCAAGGUAAUGGGAGUGGUAAAGUAGAUGAUGUCGGGCCAAAAGGACAGCUUGUUCAAGAAGAAGAGCGAGAAAAAGGAAAAGUUGGGUUUUCAGUCUACUGGAAGUAUAUCACAACAGCAUAUGGGGGAGCUCUUGUGCCAUUAAUAUUGCUUGCGCAGAUUGUCUUUCAGAUUUUUCAAAUUGGUAGCAAUUAUUGGAUGGCUUGGGCAUCUUCCGUGUCUGCAGAUGUCAAACCUCCAGUUGGGAGCUUUACACUAAUAAUUGUCUAUUUAGCUUUGGCCAUUGCUAGUGCCUUUUCUGUCCUUGCCAGAGCCAUGCUUCUUCGUACAGCUGGAUACAAAACAGCCACUCUUCUCUUCAAAAAGAUGCAUUUUUGCAUUUUCC